Prunus persica (peach) is the source of this 3416-nucleotide long non-coding RNA. RefSeq lists it as uncharacterized. Lineage: Eukaryota; Viridiplantae; Streptophyta; Magnoliopsida; Rosales; Rosaceae. The record is from RefSeq and is a predicted model, not a curated record. The transcript is spliced from 4 exons.
UGCUGGAAGGAUGUUUGAAGUAAGGCAUGUGCUGAAAAAUAUUUUGUUUGAAAUGGGAUAUGGCAUGUGCCUGAAGCACGUGACUUGGCUUGACAUGAUUUAUCUUCUGGUUUUCCCUCAUUCUCUUCUUUCUUCUUCUUCUCCAAGACCCAAACCCGUGGGUAUUGUGCAUCAGUACAUAAGUCAUAUUUCGGAAGCUCGGAUCAGAAAACUUCCUUGAUGAAAGUUGCUCAUCUGCUCGAGUACUAUAGCCUGUAAAAUUUUCUGAUUUCUUUGAAUUUUUCUGAUGCCUCAAAGCUGGUCUGCAACUUCUGUGUUCAUCCAUGGCUGGUGUAUACGUCUCUGGCACAGGCAGGGGGGGUGCCGAAAGCCUGCGUUGUAUCCAUUGUCGCUGGAAGCUUCGAAUGUACCAAUUUCGCAACUUGGCAAUUUGGAUUUCUAUCUCGAUUUCUCAGUAAAUAGUUCUGCUCCUUCACUGGAAUCUUGAGUCUUUCUUUUGGCUUUGUAGGAAUAGACAUAGACUGGUGUUUGGCCUAGACUUGUUUUUCUUGUGAACACACGCUUGAUUAAAUCUGGACUUUUCUCCGAUCUUGUGGAAAUAGAAAUUGACAGAAUGCAUGCUCUGCAAUGCUUGAAUCUUUUUGUAUUUUGAGGGAGAAUUUGCUUGUCAUGGGAAUUGCUUGAGAAUUUUGCUUGCCAUGGAUAAAUUGCAUGCUGCUUUGCUAUUUGCUUAAGCCUUUUCUUUGGCGCGAGCUUGACUUGCCAUGCUUGGCGUCUACUUUGCGUGUGCUACGUUCUUGACCACCUUCUUUGAUUGAACUAUAUGCAUUACGAGCGUAUGCUUGUAAUUUGUGAAAGGGUCUGCUGGAAUGACUGAUUGAGCAUGGAAAGGGAACUUUGCUUGUCAUAAGCUCGAGUAAUAGAUUGCAUGAUGCUUCAAAUUUUUUUGUUUAUGCAUUUCGCUUGGCAUGAGAUAACUUGCUUUGCUUGGCCUGUGAAGUUCAUAUGGCUUGUAUGCUAGCGUGGAGAUUUCUUGGCUUUAACACAGAGAACCUGCUUCAUACUUAGCCCUUUUACAGCAUAUUCCUCAUUGGUAAUUCUUGCAGGGACUCACAUAAUAAGUCCCAAUGACCUUUGUGAUGAGUGAUGGCCUAUUUCCCCUUGCACGACGGGUUGAAGAAUGGACAACUACCUUCAUAGCUUAGAAACACUUACCAAGACUCGAUCAUAGGCACUGAGUAAGCUUAGGAAGCUACUCUCAUUUUCAGGUGUUGUAUAGAAGAAAGACAUGUUUCCGGCGGCCACCUUAUUUUUUUUAAUACCCUUGCAGCAUCACUAAGGGCUGGCCACAGUGGUUCAAUCGCGAGUUGACAGCCCCAACUACCAAAGAUGUUUUGUGAAUGAUUGAAGGUUGGCAAGGAAACAUCCUUUUUUGACCUUACAGCAGCGUGCUGAAAGGGCUUAAGCGUGUGUCUUAUUAGGAUUUUGCAUGGACUUCCCGCUGAAUGCUUAGAAGAAGUUAUAGCACACACUAUUUUUAGAGCACGAGCUGCUUGUAGCAUGAAGAUGUAUGCAUGAUCCCCUUAAGCAAGAGUUGUCGUUAAUGCGUCAAGCCUUCAGGAACAUGAAUUGGAGAGCCAGUGCCGUAAGCUAUGAGACCUUCUCCUUGACAAAUAAGCGAUUGAGAAUGGCGCUCGGUGCAUGGUGGAAACAUCGAAAGGAUCAUCUAAUAGUGCUUCUUCUAUUCUGUUUUAGUCAUGCACCGUGAUCUAAUUGAGGCUGCAUUUCUUUGUUGUAGGGGCUGGCUGGCUCAAUGUGUAGUAGCUUUUCCUUUUGAAACUGCAGGGUGUAUCGAUCUUUAGCAUAGUUGACUGCAUUUGGGCCCGAGUUGUACCCCCUUUUUUUUUUGAGAGCCUAAAGCUCAUGUUGUCGGGAACUUGGAACACAACAUUGUUGCAUACUUUCUGUCAGAACUUUUGAUGUAGAAUGCUUGAGAUAUUGAGCUUCGGCCUGUUUUGUACGUUUUGCUUGGUUGGAAAUAAUGAAAUGCAUGAAUUGUUGCGGUUUGGAAUGCAUUGAGAUAAAGAUUUCCAGCUUGUUUUGUACACUCCGCUUGGUUGAAAUGCAUGAGUUGCUUGAGAUUUUAACAGGUCAGGUUGUGGUAGGUGCAAGGUACGUGCUGCCAAUUUUUUUUAGGUUGAGAACAUCUCACAAGUCGCGGAGGACACACUUCCUACUCCUCCUCUUGGGACGUCCGGCGUAGCUGCCGACACUGCCCUGCGCCUUCCAGCAGCGCAGCCUCCUACUCAUCCUUUUCCAAGCACAUCUGACACAACUGCCGGCACCUCUCCACAGCUUCCAGCAGUGCUGCCUCCUACUCCUUCUUUCCUAAGCACAUCUGACACAACUUCCGGCACCUUUCCACAGCUUCCAGCAGUGCCGCCUCCUUUCCUAAGCACAUCCGACACAACUGCCGGCACCUCUCCACAACUUCCAGCAGUGCUGCCUCAUGGUGAGAUUAUUGAUGACAGCCAUAAAGACGGUGAUGUGGAAAAGCAUGUCUUGGCAAGAUUGAGAGAAUUCCUUCAUGGCGUUCAAGGCCUUCUUUGAUGGUGGUGCUAAGAUCCUUUGAUCUAUCGAUGAGCUUCUUCCGCUUUGUCGCAGGUUCGAUGGUUAGGCACCCUUUCAAGGCACUUUUGUGUAUCCAGAGACGGUUGCGGUUUUGAGGAAAUUUAUGGAUCGAUAUGGGAGUUUCAUGGAGGUCACGGGGGUCAUCUCUUCCUCCUCGAGAAGUGCCGCCUUCCGGGCUCUUGGCUUGGUACUUCAUGGGAUAGAUACCAUGGAGCUCCUUGAUAUUACUGAUCACAAACUACUUUGUUGGCGGACGCGAUAUGUGAGGCCAUAACUCUGGGCUUUCAUGUGGACUUCCCCAUCAAUCUCGUGAGGAACCUAGCAUGUGCUGUCUUUGGAGUGCGGGCCAUUCAUAGCAUGAAAUUAUCACAUGGUUCUAGUGAGGUGAAAGCUGCUGCCGACACUUUGAACAUUAAGCAACAGGAAUUGGAUAGCCAGUGCAGGGAAGUGCAUGCCUUUUUCCUUGCUAAGUGCGUGACGGAGACAACAACCAGAUCAUCUCCUAGGGCUUCUUUCGUUCUUUUUGGGCAUUCUUCAUAGCUUCAAGGUUGUCUCCUCUUGGCUUGGUGACUGAUUAUCUUGGCGCGUGGUUCUGUUCCCUUGAAGACCAUAGGCUGCAUGGGUCUUUAGCAUGUGUAGUUUUAUCUUGCUUUAACUGUAGUUUUUUUUUUUCGUUUUCUUUUGGACACUCUAACGACCCUGUCGUUAUGAAUUCGUAAUGUAGUGUUGAAUCACUGGAGCUUGUAUUAGCUUCCGAAUGCUUGAGGCAUGUUGUAAUUUGCAUG